This is a long non-coding RNA of Sarcophilus harrisii (Tasmanian devil), 781 nucleotides long. RefSeq lists it as uncharacterized. The record is from RefSeq and is a predicted model, not a curated record. The transcript has 6 exons. NCBI's taxonomy places the organism in Eukaryota, Metazoa, Chordata, Mammalia, Dasyuromorphia, Dasyuridae.
UUCACAAUCAUUGAGUUGACUUAAUAUGUUAUUUGAACUUUCCCUUUCAGACAGACCACAGAACAUAGCCACACUCUGGGAUAUCUCCCCUGGUUGCCAAGAUCAAUACCACAUCAAGCCUAUGAACAAAUUUUAGUAUUAGGACUCACAAAUAUAUGGAAUGUAACAAAUUUCCAGCAGAGAAAAUUUUGGAAGAACUUUAUAAAAGAUAUAAUGAAGACUAUCAGACCAUGGGGCUUCAUUUUCUCACUUUUUUCAGUUUCCUUCUUCUUCCAGAUGCUCACAUUGACCUCAGGUGAGGAAGAGAUGAUGUCAAUGGAUCCCCAGGUGGGAGAGAUUAUGAGGAACGUCAUUAGCUUCUGGAUGGUAUCACAAGUAUUUAGUACAUCUGUAUUCCCUCACUGAUGAAUAUAUUAAGAAACAUGCCUUUCUAUGGAAGAUAAAUGGAAUCCUGGCAGUGACAAGCUCACUGGAAGUGGGUGUUUGUAUUUGUUAUUUGUGGACAAGACACAGUUGCUCAGGGUUUAUUUUCAAGGAAGAAUGGAUGAACUGGUUUGUUUGGAGUGUCAUGAUGAUCUUCCUCAUACUCUUAGGAAUAAUAACUUUGAAAGGUGGAUAUGGGUAUACUUUCUUUUUUAUACUGAUAUUUUCACUGGAUUUCAACAACAUUGAGAGCAUCGUCUUUGUACUUCCUACGAUACGGAUAGUUCUUUCUUUUCUUUUGUCUGAAACAUAAUUUAAUAAGAAAACUGCAGUAAAAUUCUCUUCUUCAAACUCUAAA